RNAcentral lists this ribosomal RNA (468 nucleotides) under uncultured bacterium. RNAcentral describes it as "partial 16S ribosomal RNA". It matches the Rfam family "Bacterial small subunit ribosomal RNA", at positions 28 to 507 of the family's 1533-position model. The record is from RNAcentral.
GACGAACGCUGGCGGCGUGCUUAACACAUGGAAGUCGAACGGAGAGGCCCUGCUUUUGUGGGGUGCUCGAGUGGCGAACGGGUGAGUAACACGUGAGUAACCUGCCCUUGACUUUGGGAUAACUUCAGGAAACUGGGGCUAAUACCGGAUAGGAGCUCCUGCUGCAUGGUGGGGGUUGGAAAGUUUCGGCGGUUGGGGAUGGACUCGCGGCUUAUCAGCUUGUUGGUGGGGUAGUGGCUUACCAAGGCUUUGACGGGUAGCCGGCCUGAGAGGGUGACCGGCCACAUUGGGACUGAGAUACGGCCCAGACUCCUACGGGAGGCAGCAGUGGGGAAUAUUGCACAAUGGGCGGAAGCCUGAUGCAGCAACGCCGCGUGCGGGAUGACGGCCUUCGGGUUGUAAACCGCUUUCGCCUGUGACGAAGCGUGAGUGACGGUAAUGGGUAAAGAAGCACCGGCUAACUACGAG